Molecule: long non-coding RNA, 1787 nt
Organism: Oncorhynchus keta (chum salmon)
Lineage: Eukaryota; Metazoa; Chordata; Actinopteri; Salmoniformes; Salmonidae
Exons: 3
Source: RefSeq, a predicted model, not a curated record
UGUUUCGGACCUUUGCCUCUCCCGAGUCCGUAGGGGAGUUGCAGCGAUGGGGCAAUUGGAUACCACCAAAUUGGGGAGAAAAAGUGGUAAAAAAUAUAAAAUAAUCUGAGUCAGAAAAGGUUGGUGACCACUGUUCUAGAUGGUAUGGUUACUACAGACAUAUGAUCUACUAUACCAUUUCUCUAGACUAGUAGCUCGGGAGACAGACACUGGCAAAUGACAUCGACACAUUCACUAUAAGACAAUGGUUGGGAUGCAGACGUAUUUUCUACCAUAGACACAUUGUCUAUGACUCAGUAGCUAGGGAGACAGAAGACAUUGUGUUUGAUGGAAGCAUUCUCUGUGGAACAAUGUUAUAGGACAGACACAUUCAAUAUGAGACAAUAGAUUGGAUACUGACACAAUGGUAAGGUAAAAUGCCUGUUGAGAGAGACAGUGGUUUUAAGUGACUGAGACAGUUGGAUUGAGUGAGAGGCUGUGAGCACGGCGCGUGUGUGAAACACUUCAUCAAAUUGUCCAUUUGAAAAAGCAGGGUGCAGUAGAGAUAUGUUUCAUUGAACCACCGUGUCUCUCUCUCUCACGAGCCACGCACGCACGCGCACGCACGCACGCACGCACUCACUCACUCACUCACUCACUCACUCACUCACUCACUCACUCACUCACUCACUCACUCACUCACUCACUCACUCACACACUCACACACACACACACACACACACACACACACACACACACACACACACACCUCGUUCUAGUGUAAUUUAUUGGUAACUACUCUUCCGUCUGCUCUCCCUCUUCUCCCUCUGGCCCUGAGAUCCUCCAUCCUUUCUCCCUCUGCCACUCCUUUUACGUCAGCAUAACCCUCACCCCUCUCACCUACAUGUGAGUCAGAGAGACAGGUAUGCAUACAUGUGAGUCAGAGAGACAGGUAUGCAUACAUGUGAGUCAGAGAGACAGGUAGGCAUACAUGUGAGUCAGAGAGACAGGUAUGCAUACAUGUGAGUCAGAGAGACAGGUAGACAUACAUGUGAGUCAGAGAGACAGGUAUGCAUACAUGUGAGUCAGAGAGACAGGUAUGCAUACAUGUGAGUCAGAGAGACAGGUAGACAUACAUGUGAGUCAGAGAGACAGGUAUGCAUACAUGUGAGUCAGAGAGACAGGUAGGCAUACAUGUGAGUCAGAGAGACAGGUAGGCAUACAUGUGAGUCAGAGAGACAGGUAGGCAUACAUGUGAGUCAGAGAGACAGGUAGACAUACAUGUGAGUCAGAGAGACAGGUAGGCAUACAUGUGAGUCAGAGAGACAGGUAGGCAUACAUGUGAGUCAGAGAGACAGGUAGGCAUACAUGUGAGUCAGAGAGACAGGUAGACAUACAUGUGAGUCAGAGAGACAGGUAGGCAUACAUGUGAGUCAGAGAGACAGGUAGGCAUACAUGUGAGUCAGAGAGACAGGUAGGCAUACAUGUGAGUCAGAGAGACAGGUAGGCAUACAUGUGAGUCAGAGAGACAGGUAGGCAUACAUGUGAGUCAGAGAGACAGGUAGGCAUACAUGUGAGUCAGAGAGACAGGUAUGCAUACAUGUGAGUCAGAGAGACAGGUAGGCAUACAUGUGAGUCAGAGAGACAGGUAUGCAUACAUGUGAGUCAGAGAGACAGGUAGGCAUACAUGUGAGUCAGAGAGACAGGUAUGCAUACAUGUGAGUCAGAGAGACAGGUAGGCAUACAUGUGAGUCAGAGAGACAGGUAUGCAUACAUGUGAGUCAGAGAGACAGGUAUGCAUACAUGUG